GCCGUAGAGGUCAGGCGACCGCCGCGGCCACCUUCCCAUCGCUAGGACCCCGGCAAGCCACGGAGCAGGGGACCUUCGGGGCCGGAAGUUGUCUGCCUCGUAGUGGGCCACGCCAGAAGCCCGGAAGCGUGCAGUCCCGGCGGCGGCCCUGCAGGGGGCGUUGUCGUCCGGUGUUCUCCGCGUGCGGGGCCGGUUUAGAAGGCCCAGUUCCCGCUCAUUUGGUGUAUUCCUGAACUGCAGGUUUGUCCCUCGUGGCCGUGGCCUCCCGCCUGCCUUCGCGUCACAGUCUCGUUGCCCUGGAAACGAUGGAGCCUCAGCGCAGAAAUGGCUUUGAGAGUCGGCGGAGGGUCUGGCCCUGCUCUCGGGCGCUCUCAGCGUUGCGCUCUCCUCGGCGCCUAAACCCCAGAAUAACCGUCCUGGAAAGCGGUGGUCGAAGUAACCAUGGCUCUGUCGGGACUCCUAACUUUUCGCUUUCCGUCGCGAUCUCGCCGGGGAAACACUCUUCGACUCUGGGAAUCCGAAGACUAAUGAGGCACGCUUUCAAGUUGCUGCCAGUUUUAUAGGGGCAGCGUGUAACAUACACAUGACAGUAUGUGACAACCCUGAUGUGUAAUAAGGGUCACAAACUCAAAUUCGCCUAGGAGCCAGGCAGGAUCUAAUGCAAACGUGUCAGGGGUCCCCAAGACCACCCUGAGGUUCAAUGAUUCACUAGAACUCACAGGACUCAGCAUAUAGGCAUCACCGUGACUAUGAUUUAUUACAAAGAAAAGAUACAGAACAAGAUCAGCAAUGGGCAAUGGCACCUUGGGUGAAGUCUGGACACUCAAGCUUCCAAGAGUUCUCUCUCAGUGGAGUCACAUGGGACACGCUUAAUUCCUCCAGCAAUGAGUUGUGACAGCACAUGUGAAAUGUUGUCUAACAGAUAAGCUCAUUGCAGAUUCAAUGUCCAGAGUUUUUAUUGGGGGCUAGUCACACAAGCACUGUCUACCUAACACAUACCCAAAUUUUCAGACUCCCAGAAGGAAAGCCAGUGUUCAGCAUAAACCACAUUGUUUGUACAAACAGUUUAGGCACCAUGAGCCAUUCUUAUCAGGGAAUUGUGGGAACUCUCCCAAAAUCUAAAUUCCCAGAUGCCAGUCAAGGGCCACCAACCUUGCAAGCAGGCCUUGCUGAGAAUAGCAGUCUCAGGCCUGCUAUGUUAACUCUUUUCUGCAUACCAGGGUACCACGUUUCAUUUAGUUGUCACAUUUCCCUAGUCUCAUCUGGUUUGUGACAGUUCCUCAGUCUUCCCUUGUUUUUCAUGACCUGGACAAUCUUGAGGAGUGCUGACCAGAUAAUCCUGUAGCCUGUCCCUGAAUCUAGGUUUGUCUGAUAUCUUUCUCAUGCUUAGAUGGGUAUUAGCAGGUUCUGGGAGGAUACCACAGAAGUGAAGUGUCCUCAUCACAUCAUUGUAGCGGCUACAUGAUAUCUGUGUGAUACCUGGUGACAGUAACUUUCAGCUCUUGGUAAAUGUACUAUUUGCCAAAUUCCUCCACUUUAAAGUUAAUAUUUUUCCCUUUCC
RNAcentral lists this long non-coding RNA (1561 nucleotides) under Equus asinus (donkey). RNAcentral describes it as "lncRNA (ENSEASG00005026014.1)". The record is from RNAcentral. Lineage: Eukaryota; Metazoa; Chordata; Mammalia; Perissodactyla; Equidae.